RNAcentral lists this ribosomal RNA (469 nucleotides) under uncultured bacterium. Its description in RNAcentral is "partial 16S ribosomal RNA". It matches the Rfam family "Bacterial small subunit ribosomal RNA", at positions 28 to 507 of the family's 1533-position model. The record is from RNAcentral.
GACGAACGCUGGCGGCGUGCUUAACACAUGCAAGUCGAACGAUGAAGCGCCAGCUUGCUGGUGUGGAUUAGUGGCGAACGGGUGAGUAACACGUGAGUAACCUGCCCCCUACUCUGGGAUAAGCCUGGGAAACUGGGUCUAAUACUGGAUAUGACCAAUCACUGCAUGGUGUGUUGGUGGAAAGAUUUUUUGGUGGGGGAUGGACUCGCGGCCUAUCAGCUUGUUGGUGGGGUAAUGGCCUACCAAGGCGACGACGGGUAGCCGGCCUGAGAGGGCGACCGGCCACACUGGGACUGAGACACGGCCCAGACUCCUACGGGAGGCAGCAGUGGGGAAUAUUGCACAAUGGGCGAAAGCCUGAUGCAGCGACGCCGCGUGAGGGAUGACGGCCUUCGGGUUGUAAACCUCCUUCACCAGGGACGAAGCUAACGUGACGGUACCUGGAGAAGAAGCACCGGCUAACUACGUG